AUGUGGACUGGAGAGCAGACUUGUGCUCUUCCUUUCAGAAAGGACAAACCUGAGCCCUAAUAUUAAUAUCCUUAAUCCUAUUCAUCAGCUCAACAAAUUUAUUAGGCCUAUUACCACACUUAUUCACACCUACCACCCAAUUAUCAAUAAACCUGGGAAUAGCCAUUCCCCU
This is a long non-coding RNA of Leopardus geoffroyi (Geoffroy's cat), 172 nucleotides long. RefSeq lists it as uncharacterized. The transcript has 4 exons. NCBI's taxonomy places the organism in Eukaryota, Metazoa, Chordata, Mammalia, Carnivora, Felidae. The record is from RefSeq and is a predicted model, not a curated record.